GGGGUUGUGGCUCAGUGGCACACCACUUGCCUAGCACGCAUGAGGCACUGGGUUCGAUUCUCAGCACCACA
This 71-nucleotide transfer RNA is filed under the name Marmota monax (woodchuck). Its description in RNAcentral is "tRNA.Ala". Lineage: Eukaryota; Metazoa; Chordata; Mammalia; Rodentia; Sciuridae. The record is from RNAcentral.